RNAcentral lists this ribosomal RNA (127 nucleotides) under uncultured bacterium. Its description in RNAcentral is "partial 16S ribosomal RNA". The record is from RNAcentral.
AAUGUCAUGGCUGGCCGCUAUUAACGACCAGCUUUUCUUCCCUUCUGAAAGUGCUUUACAACCCUAGGGCCUUCUUCACACACGCGGCAUGGCUGCGUCAGGGUUUCCCCCAUUGCGCAAUAUUCCC